GACGAACGCUGGCGGCGUGCUUAACACAUGCAAGUCGAACGGAAAGGCCCUGCUUUUGUGGGGUGCUCGAGUGGCGAACGGGGGAGUAACACGUGAGUAACCUGCUCUUGACUUUGGGAUAACUUCAGGAAACUGGGGCUAAUACCGGAUAGGAGCUCCUGCUGCAUGGUGGGGGGUGGAAAGUCUCGGCGGUCGGGGAUGGAUUCGCGGGUUAUGAGCUAGUUGGUGGGGUAGUGGCUUCCCAAGUGUUUGACGGGUAGCCGGCAUGAGAGGGUGGCCGGGCACAUUAGGCCUGAGAGAGGGCGCAGUCGGGUACGGUAGGCAGCAGGGGGAAGUCUGACACAAUGGGCGGGAGCCUGAUGAGGAGGCGCUGGGUGCGGGAUGACGGCCUUCGGGGUAAGAACCGCUGUCGCCUGUGACGAAGCGUGAGUGACGGUAAUGAGUAAAGAAGCACCGGCUAACUUCGUG
This 468-nucleotide ribosomal RNA is filed under the name uncultured bacterium. RNAcentral describes it as "partial 16S ribosomal RNA". It matches the Rfam family "Bacterial small subunit ribosomal RNA", at positions 28 to 507 of the family's 1533-position model. The record is from RNAcentral.